RNAcentral lists this ribosomal RNA (366 nucleotides) under Triticum aestivum (bread wheat). RNAcentral's name for it is "partial small subunit ribosomal RNA". Lineage: Eukaryota; Viridiplantae; Streptophyta; Magnoliopsida; Poales; Poaceae. The record is from RNAcentral.
AUGAUAAAAGAUGGGUCAGAGAUUCAUUCCCGGGAGGACAAGUGGUUAGGCAAUGUCACCUUCCGAGAACAAUAUCUUGAUUUGUACCGCAUUGUGAGUGAUAAAAAUGGUACUAUUGCGCAUGUGCUUAGUUCAUCCCCGUCAAAUAUUUCUUUUAGGCGGGAUUUAAUUGCCCCCCGUCUUAUGUCAUGGCAAAAUCUUCUAUCCCUAUGGGAGUCGACUAACCUGACAUAUGGACGGGAUGAGUUUCGUUGGAAUCUCAUAACAUCUGGGUUCUUCACAGUUGACUUUAUGUGUCACCCACUAACGCAUUCAGAGGCUCCAGUGGAUAUAACAAGAAAAUUUGAAAAUCAAAAGUUUCACUAA